Molecule: unclassified non-coding RNA, 337 nt
Filed under: soil metagenome
Description: partial contains 5.8S ribosomal RNA, internal transcribed spacer 2, and large subunit ribosomal RNA
Rfam family: 5.8S ribosomal RNA (bases 1-120)
Source: RNAcentral
GAUGAAGAACGUAGCGAAAUGCGAUAAGUAGUGUGAAUUGCAGAAUUCAGUGAAUCAUCGAAUCUUUGAACGCACAUUGCGCCCCUUGGUAUUCCAUGGGGCAUGCCUGUUCGAGCGUCAUCUACACCCUCAAGCUCUGCUUGGUGUUGGGCGUCUGUCCCGCCUUUGCGCGUGGACUCGCCCCAAAUUCAUUGGCAGCGGUCCUUGCCUCCUCUCGCGCAGCACAUUUGCGCUUCUCGAGGUGCGCGGGCCGCGUCCACGAAGCAACUAUUACCGUCUUUGACCUCGGAUCAGGUAGGAAUACCCGCUGAACUUAAGCAUAUCAAUAAGCGGAGGA